Molecule: ribosomal RNA, 433 nt
Filed under: uncultured bacterium
Lineage: Bacteria
Description: partial 16S ribosomal RNA
Rfam family: Bacterial small subunit ribosomal RNA
Source: RNAcentral
AACGAGCGCUGGCGGCAUGCCUAUCACAUGCAAGUCGAACGAGACCUUCGGGUCUAGUGGCGCACGGGUGCGUAACGCGUGGGAACCUGCCCUUAGGUUCGGAAUAACUCCCCGAAAGGGGUGCUAAUACCGGAUAAUGUCUUCGGACCAAAGAUUUAUCGCCUUUGGAUGGGCCCGCGUUGGAUUAGCUAGUUGGUAGGGUAAAAGCCUACCAAGGCGACGAUCCAUAGCUGGUCUGAGAGGAUGAUCAGCCACACUGGGACUGAGACACGGCCCAGACUCCUACGGGAGGCAGCAGUGGGGAAUAUUGGACAAUGGGCGAAAGCCUGAUCCAGCAAUGCCGCGUGAGUGAUGAAGGCCUUAGGGUUGUAAAGCUCUUUUACCCGGGAUGAUAAUGACAGUACCGGGAGAAUAAGCUCCGGCUAACUCCGUG